UGUAUGAACUGUUAAUUUCUACACACACUCACACCACUAAAAUUGUAUUAUGGCAUGUGUAUGAUUAGGAGUGUAUAGCUGCCAUUGUUGUUUAAGGUAAUUAGGUUGAUGUUUUCUGCAUAGGUGAUUAACACCAGUGAGGAGGAGGAGGACACCAUCCCUCAGGCGGAGUCUCAGCGGCCAGGGACAGUGCCUGCAGUUUUUGUUGAACUGGAUGAGGACAGUUUGAAGGCUCUAAAAGAGCUGCCAGGACUGGUGUCUUCACUCAAAACAGUCCUAAACAAAAUGGAAGAUUCACCUUUGUCUUCCAUGAUUUCCAGCCAAAGCGAAUCACCGCGCACUGGCAGUCACACUGGCAGUGAAGAAGACAUGGUGUCAUUGGGCAACUCAUUAGUGCAAGUCCCAAAACGCCUCUAUCAGAGGCUGAGUGGGAGGAGGAUGUCCCUCUUCACACAGGAACUGGCCACAUUGGUGUUUGGCAGGGAAACUUUGGCCAAGGCAACCCUCACAGGGAAAGGAAAAAAAGGCGAGCUGAAGGAGCAGCUUGAGCCAGAAAAAACCAACGCAAUUAUAGAUGCAGUCAGGGAGCGAUUCCCCAACACCGAGGUGGCAGAGAUCCGGGCCCUUCUACGGAGAAAGUGCAACAAUGAGAGCUACAAGGCCUCUAGUAACUCAAGUCAGAGCUAGAUAUGCAUGUGUAGUAAGUUGUUUUGCCAUUGUUCUGUUAUCGGCAUUUCAGAGAAAGUCGACUGUUCAAGGUUCCUCCUUUUGCCAAUAUCUGCUUUUGUGUGUUACUUUUGUGUUAAUAAUAAAGAUCCUCUUCUGAAAUGCA
This is a long non-coding RNA of Cyprinus carpio (common carp), 832 nucleotides long. Lineage: Eukaryota; Metazoa; Chordata; Actinopteri; Cypriniformes; Cyprinidae. The record is from Ensembl.